UACGGAGUGUGCAAGCGUUACUCGGAAUUACUGGGCGUAAAGCGCACGUAGGCGGCUUCUUAAGUCGGUGGUGAAAUCCUGGAGCUCAACUCCAGAACUGCCUUCGAUACUGGGAAGCUCGAGUCCGGGAGAGGUGAGUGGAACUGCGAGUGUAGAGGUGAAAUUCGUAGAUAUUCGCAAGAACACCAGUGGCGAAGGCGGCUCACUGGCCCGGUACUGACGCUGAGGUGCGAAAGCGUGGGGAGCAAACAGG
This 253-nucleotide ribosomal RNA is filed under the name uncultured bacterium. RNAcentral's name for it is "partial 16S ribosomal RNA". It matches the Rfam family "Bacterial small subunit ribosomal RNA", at positions 524 to 776 of the family's 1533-position model. The record is from RNAcentral.